AAAUAAAUAUAUAUAUACAUAAUAAAAUAAAAUAAAUUGUAGUUUGGAGUAAGCUACUGGUCUAGCAAUUUUAAACGAGUUAAUUGUUAGAUGACAAUUUUUUGUUGCUGAUGGGUCAUUCAAAGUGACCUGUUGUUUCCAGAUUCACAGUGUGAUUCACAAUUAGUCAAGUGAACGAAAUAAGGAGAUAAGGUAUCCUUAUCAGUACUGAUUUAGAGAUACUAGAUUAGAUACGUUAACGAAGUGCCGCAAUGUUACAGUCGAAGUUAAAAAUAACUCUGAACAUGAAUUUCUAACAAAAUUGCAUCCGGGGCAAUAGAAAUUUAAGCCCCACGGAGGUUGAAUAUUAUAAUUGAUAUAUAUAUAACAGCAUUCUCGCGGAAAGGAUUCAGACUUAAAGCUAAAGCUAUAAAUGUGUCACUUGACUAUUUGGUGAAGUCUUUGGAAGCGCGUUCAUUGCCCGUUCAUCAACAUCCAAAAUUUAAUAUGUUGAAAAAAUUCAAUUCAAACCAAAUCGAUGCUAUGAAAAUUCAGAUGGGAGUGGCGUUGAAACAGUUCCAUAAAUACCAGAACACUACUGCUCUGUACAAUUUGUUUUUUACUGAAAAACAGAAAAUCAGCUUUAUAAAGGAAAUAGCACAGCAAAAAUAAUGCACAGUGUUUAACAAAGCACUAUGAAAAAUAAUUAAAAAGAAAUAAUUUCUCAAUUACCAAAUUUAUAUGUAUUUAUAUAUUUAUUUGCAAAUCUUUCUGUGAAAAGCAUUUUCUGUGAUAGUGUUUUCCGAGUAUUAAAAAAAAAAUAA
Molecule: long non-coding RNA, 803 nt
Organism: Hermetia illucens (black soldier fly)
Lineage: Eukaryota; Metazoa; Arthropoda; Insecta; Diptera; Stratiomyidae
Exons: 3
Source: RefSeq, a predicted model, not a curated record